Molecule: transfer RNA, 536 nt
Filed under: uncultured cyanobacterium
Lineage: Bacteria; Bacillati; Cyanobacteriota
Description: partial 16S-23S intergenic spacer
Rfam family: tRNA (bases 207-279)
Source: RNAcentral
AGACAACAAAAUGUUUAAUAUUAUUAUUUUGUCACCUUAGGUCGAUCGGUAUCUCACGUUUUUAAUUUAUUAAGAAUUUCAUUUCCUAAGUUUUUCUAGGUCACACCCAUUAUUCUUCCUGGGCCAUUAGCUCAGGUGGUUAGAGCGCACCCCUGAUAAGGGUGAGGUCCCUGGUUCAAGUCCAGGAUGGCCCAUAUCUCUAUGUUGGGGGUAUAGCUCAGUUGGUAGAGCGCCUGCUUUGCAAGCAGGAUGUCAGCGGUUCGAGUCCGCUUACCUCCACUGAUUACCACCUCUUCCAUAACCGGUAGAAAGGAAAUUUUUUGAGUUGUGAUCAAAUUCUGAAAGAAUCUAGCUUCCUAAUGAAAUCAUUAAGAUGCUGGACUCAUUGAAUUAAUUUCAUUGUUUUCAGAGAACCUUGACAACUGCAUAGAUUAUUUUUAAAGACAAUAAGCAUCUUUAAUGAUGCAGAUUUAUUAUUUGUGCGAAUGCAUUAAUAACAAUUCUAUUAAGCUGAUGCUUCAAUUUUUGAAGUUAUU